RNAcentral lists this ribosomal RNA (492 nucleotides) under uncultured bacterium. RNAcentral describes it as "partial 16S ribosomal RNA". It matches the Rfam family "Bacterial small subunit ribosomal RNA", at positions 29 to 507 of the family's 1533-position model. The record is from RNAcentral.
AGUGAACGCUGGCGGUAGGCCUAACACAUGCCAGUCGAACGGCAGCACAGUAAGAGCUUGCUCUUACGGGUGGCGAGUGGCGGACGGGUGAGGAAUACAUCGGAAUCUACUUUUUCGUGGGGGAUAACGUAGGGAAACUUACGCUAAUACCGCAUACGACCUACGGGUGAAAGCAGGGGAUCUUCGGACCUUGCGCGAUUGAAUGAGCCGAUGUCGGAUUAGCUAGUUGGCGGGGUAAAGGCCCACCAAGGCGACGAUCCGUAGCUGGUCUGAGAGGAUGAUCAGCCACACUGGAACUGAGACACGGUCCAGACUCCUACGGGAGGCAGCAGUGGGGAAUAUUGGACAAUGGGCGCAAGCCUGAUCCAGCCAUACCGCGUGGGUGAAGAAGGCCUUCGGGUUGUACAGCCCUUUUGUUGGGAAAGAAAAGCAGCAGGUUAAUACCCCGCUGUUCUGACGGUACCCAAAGAAUAAGCACCGGCUAACUUCGUG